RNAcentral lists this small RNA (283 nucleotides) under Ursus maritimus (polar bear). RNAcentral describes it as "7SK RNA (ENSUMAG00000015223.1)". Lineage: Eukaryota; Metazoa; Chordata; Mammalia; Carnivora; Ursidae. The record is from RNAcentral.
AGAUAUGAGCGGGAAUUCUCCUUGACUCCUGUCACGCCAGUGCUCUCCAUGGUGUAAUGGGCUGAACAGGCUGGCCAUGCUGGUGUCACCUUCCUCAAAGUUUCAUUCCCAUCGUACUAAAAGAGGAAAGCAUUUCCAAAGACAGGAGGUCUGUUCUUCUGUCGAGAGUAUUGAGUAGCUAGAAAUUCCAGGUUCUUGGGAUCCAUUUGGAGAACUCAACAGAGUCAAGCCCAACAGCAACAAUAACAGGAAAGGACAUACACAGUUGUAUGUGACCUGAUGA